AUGGGGCGCAAGCCUGAUGCAGCCAUGCCGCGUGUAUGAAGAAGGCCUUCGGGUUGUAAAGUACUUUCAGCGGGGAGGAAGGUGUUGAGGUUAAUAACCUCAGCAAUUGACGUUACCCGCAGAAGAAGCACCGGCUAACUCCGUGCCAGCAGCCGCGGUAAUACGGAGGGUGCAAGCGUUAAUCGGAAUUACUGGGCGUAAAGCGCACGCAGGCGGUCUGUCAAGUCGGAUGUGAAAUCCCCGGGCUCAACCUGGGAACUGCAUUCGAAACUGGCAGGCUAGAGUCUUGUAGAGGGRGGUAGAAUUCCAGGUGUAGCGGUGAAAUGCGUAGAGAUCUGGAGGAAUAGCCGGUGGCGAAGGCGGCCYCCUNGGACGAAGACUGACGCUNCAGGUAGCGAAAGCGNGGGGAGCAAACAGGAUUAGAUACCCUGGUAGUNCCACGCCGUAAACGAUGUCCGAUUUGGAGGUUGUGCCCUUGAGGCGUGGCUUCCGGAGCUAACGCGUUAAAUCGACCGCCUGGGGAGUACGGCCGCAAGGUUAAAACUCANAUGAAUUGACGGGGGCCCGCACAAGCGGUGGAGCAUGUGGUUUAAUUCGAUGCAACGCGAAGAACCUUACCUGGUCUUGACUUCCACAGAACUGGCAGAGAUGCCGGGGUGCCUUCGGGAACUGUGAGACAGGUGCUGCUGGCUGUCGUCA
This 699-nucleotide ribosomal RNA is filed under the name Enterobacter sp. ICBR 019. RNAcentral describes it as "bacterial SSU rRNA". It matches the Rfam family "Bacterial small subunit ribosomal RNA", at positions 370 to 1057 of the family's 1533-position model. Lineage: Bacteria; Pseudomonadati; Pseudomonadota; Gammaproteobacteria; Enterobacterales; Enterobacteriaceae. The record is from RNAcentral.